RNAcentral lists this long non-coding RNA (587 nucleotides) under Helianthus annuus (common sunflower). RNAcentral's name for it is "hypothetical non coding rna". The record is from RNAcentral. Lineage: Eukaryota; Viridiplantae; Streptophyta; Magnoliopsida; Asterales; Asteraceae.
AUGAAGAAAAACAAGAAAUCUGGUUCAAAGGACAAGCAAGAGGCUGGUUCUAGCGGGUCCAAGGACCCGGGCAAGCAAGGAUGAUGACAUUGCUUGGUGGGUUGAUUCAGGUGCAACAAGUCAUGUGUGCAAGGAUCUUCGUUGGUUUAAAGACUUUCAACCAAUCGAAGACGGGUCUAUCAUAAAGAUGGGGAAUGUUGCAACUGAACCAAUCAAGGGAAUAGGAACUGUUAAUCUUGUGUUUACUUCUGGGAAAACUUUACUUUUGAACAAUGUUUUGUAUGCGCCCGGGAUUCGAAAGAAUCUGUUAAGUGGCAUUGUGUUGAAUAAUUGUGGGUACAAACAAGUAUUGGAAAGUGACAAGUAUAUCUUGUCAAGACAUGGUACCUUUGUUGGUUUCGGUUAUCUAUGUAAUGGUAUGUUUAUGUUGAAUGUUGAUGUCUCGUUCAUGAAUGAAUCUGUUUGUGUUGCUUCAACUAGUAAUGUUAAUGAUAUACCUUCAACUAGUAAUGCAAAUUGUAUAGCUUCAACUAGUAGUAGAAACAACUUGACUGAAUCGGAAUUAUGGCAUGCUAGACUAGGACAUG